RNAcentral lists this ribosomal RNA (497 nucleotides) under uncultured bacterium. RNAcentral describes it as "partial 16S ribosomal RNA". It matches the Rfam family "Bacterial small subunit ribosomal RNA", at positions 28 to 507 of the family's 1533-position model. The record is from RNAcentral.
GAUGAACGCUGGCGGCGUGCCUAAUACAUGCAAGUCGAGCGAACAGACGAGGAGCUUGCUCCUCUGACGUUAGCGGCGGACGGGUGAGUAACACGUGGAUAACCUACCUAUAAGACUGGGAUAACUUCGGGAAACCGGAGCUAAUACCGGAUAAUAUAUUGAACCGCAUGGUUCAAUAGUGAAAGACGGUUUUGCUGUCACUUAUAGAUGGAUCCGCGCCGCAUUAGCUAGUUGGUAAGGUAACGGCUUACCAAGGCGACGAUGGGUAGCCGACCUGAGAGGGUGAUCGGCCACACUGGAACUGAGAGACGGUCCAGACUCCUACGGGAGGCAGCAGUAGGGAAUCUUCCGCAAUGGGCGAAAGCCUGACGGAGCAAAGCCGCGUGAGUGAUGAAGGUCUUCGGAUCGUAAAACUCUGUUAUUAGGGAAGAACAAAUGUGUAAGUAACUAUGCACGUCUUGACGGUACCUAAUCAGAAAGCCACGGCUAACUACGUG